Molecule: long non-coding RNA, 341 nt
Organism: Gavialis gangeticus (Gharial)
Lineage: Eukaryota; Metazoa; Chordata; Crocodylia; Gavialidae
Exons: 3
Source: RefSeq, a predicted model, not a curated record
AGUACAGAUUCAAAUGCAUCUGUUUUCAUAAAAUAUGAUUUAUACAGAUCAAAGUAAGAGAGAAGAAGCAACAUUCAAAACAUUACUUCUUUGCUGGUAUGCAUAAUAACCAUGAGUUUGGACUUAAAUGGCCCAGAAACAAAUAAUCCUCUCAGAAGCAGAGAUAGAAAGGUUUCUUCCAACCUUCCUCCCUCAGCUCUCCAUGGCUCACCAAAAGCUGCAAGGGAAUUGAGGUCUACUUACCAGCAAAGGACAGCUGGGCUAAGAGGGUCUGGGCUAAGAUGAAACCUGAUGGAUCAGCUUGUAUCUAUGCAAUCUGGAUGACUAUGAGCUCCACAGAU